This 435-nucleotide ribosomal RNA is filed under the name uncultured bacterium. RNAcentral describes it as "partial 16S ribosomal RNA". It matches the Rfam family "Bacterial small subunit ribosomal RNA", at positions 29 to 507 of the family's 1533-position model. The record is from RNAcentral.
AGCGAACGCUGGCGGCAGGCUUAACACAUGCAAGUCGAGCGGGCAUCUUCGGAUGUCAGCGGCAGACGGGUGAGUAACACGUGGGAACGUACCCUUCGGUUCGGAACAACUCUGGGAAACUGGAGCUAAUACCGGAUACGCCCUUAUGGGGAAAGGUUUACUGCCGAAGGAUCGGCCCGCGUCUGAUUAGCUAGUUGGUGGGGUAACGGCCUACCAAGGCGACGAUCAGUAGCCGGUCUGAGAGGAUGAUCAGCCACACUGGGACUGAGACACGGCCCAGACUCCUACGGGAGGCAGCAGUGGGGAAUAUUGGACAAUGGGCGCAAGCCUGAUCCAGCCAUGCCGCGUGAGUGAUGAAGGCCUUAGGGUUGUAAAGCUCUUUUGUCCGGGACGAUAAUGACGGUACCGGAAGAAUAAGCCCCGGCUAACUUCGUG